Molecule: long non-coding RNA, 2829 nt
Filed under: Medicago truncatula (barrel medic)
Lineage: Eukaryota; Viridiplantae; Streptophyta; Magnoliopsida; Fabales; Fabaceae
Description: long non-coding RNA (MTRU_LNC005538)
Source: RNAcentral
CAAAAGGUCCGGCGGUUGUGUUCUUAUCUGUACAAAAUUACAAGGUUUGUUUGUUACUGUAAACAUGAAAAGGAAAGAUGGUAUAUUUGUUGGAAGGUUCAAUUUAGUUAGCUUGCAGUGUUUUCUUAUCCAUGGAAAUCUAUUGUUCUAAACAUUUGUAAUAUCAUGUUGUUGUUGGAUUUCUCGUUUGUUAAUUAUUGUUUUUGAAGUAGUGUUUAGCUUGAAUUAGCUUGAUUUUUGGUUUGUUAAUUCUGGAUUUAUUUUGCCGUUGGAUUUUGUUAAUUCUAGCUUGAAUUUUUCUUGUUAGUUUAUUGUUGCUGGAUUUUUGGUUUGUUAAUCCUGGGUUUAUGUUUGAAUGAUAUAAUGAUAUUAUGGAUUUUCUUUAAGAAAUGGAUGAAGAAGAAGGAACUCACGUGCCUCUCCUUUCUUUCCUUUUUUUUUUUUUAAUUCCGUAAAUGCAUGUGUGGCUUUUUGUUUUUUUUUUUAAUUUAAAAAAUACACAGUUGGCAUGACAUGUAGGAUUGACCAAAUCAAAAUUGAGGUUUUGCAAAAGGUGAUAAACAUGGGUCAUUUUUGCUAUUUUUUUAAUAGGGGGCUAAAAUUGCAACUUUUGCAAAUUUAAAAGAUAAAAAGUGCGUUUAAGCCAAGUUAAAGUGGAGUGGUCCAAGUCCAACAGUCCAUCAUAACACAUUGCAAUAAGAAAAAAAACAAAUAUUACCUGUUAUUUAAAUAAAUUUAGUCCCUAUGAACUUAACUCAUUUGAUAAGGGAUAAUGCACAAAUGUGUAGGCGUCGGGGUUCGAAUCCCCGGACACCUCACUUAUUCAUCUUUUAGGUGAAUUUCUCUAACCACUAAACUACUUGACAAAAAAAAAUUAUAAUUUUUAUAACAAUGACAUUUUUUUUUUUUGGUACAAGUAACAAUGACAUAUCUAGAGGGACAUUGAGAAGGAAACUUUAUUAUGGAGAGAGAGAAGAGUGCAUUGCUGCCGUUGUGCUAUUUUCGAAUUUACUUUAUGUUGGCAGAAAGCUUUUAGUUCGAGAUUUGUUUAAUGUCGUUGAAUUUAUAUUGAUGACAUUUUUUUUGAACAAACAAAAAUAAGAUAUAUUAACACGGACACCGUAAUUGUUAUCGCACAAGGUGUGCCAAAUAAUCACGAAAAUGUCAAGGUCCAAACAAAAUUACAACCAAAUCAGUCAAUACACGGACAUAAAAGCGGGUUCGACCACCACUGAUGAGUACCAAAACUAAAUACAACAUUGCUAGCCUUUAACCACCACAAAGAAGUUGAUUUCACUUUAUCUAACAUUUGUGGCAGAGUACUUUGUCUAUUUCUAAAAAUCCUAUCAUCCAUUUCAUUCCACAACACCGAAACACGAAGCAAUCAAAUCAAGUGGAAGAAAGACCGUCAUCUUCUCAAACAACCUGCGUAAUUAAUAAAUUGCAAAAAAUGAUCUGAAGUUGAUUGAGAUUCGACCCCUACCACUCCUAGCCAUGCCCGCACCAUUGGCCAUAAUGCACUAAAAGUUACACAAGACAAAAAUAAAUGAUUAACAUCUUCAACGUUCCCACAACUAGAAACACACAACCGCGCCUCCAAAGGUAAAAUGCAACGGUUUGCCAAAUUAUUUUUUGUAGGUAACCAAUCUCUCAGGAGUCGCCAAGCAAGGAUAGAUACUUUGAGAGGAACCUGUUUAUACCAAAUUAACUUCAUAUGAUGAUGUAAUUGGGGCUGCUCCUGUGAUGUCAGCAUGUCAUAUACUCCACGCACAGAAUACCCACCCUCCUGUUUAGGUAAUCAAAGCCAUAUGUUUGUCACUGAUUCCUGCAAAGAAACUGUUAGUAAUAAAACUCUACACUCCUCUACCAACUUCUCCUCCCAAGCCCACAACCGCCUACGCCACCGCAACACCCCCCCACCCACAUCCACCCCCAACAAGAACAUAUUUCUAACUGAAAUUGAUUUUUUAACAUUCAAGUCAAAAAGGCGCCUAAAUUGACGACAUUGUUGCCGUUAAUUAUGAUGUUGUCUCAUCUAGAAGUCCUAGCUCAACUGGCAAAAUAUCGAAAUUGUUAGGUCAGAUGCCAUGACCUGGAUUCGAACCCCGGUACCUCCACUUAUGUGUGUGAGUUUAUAAUGGCUUUAUUAUUUCGUCUAUCUACCAAAAAUAAAAUGAUGUUGUCUCUUUUGAUUACAUUGACAGUGUUAGAUUUGUAUCAUAAGUUUUUUUUUUUUACCAAAAUUUAACCUGCUGCUGUUUUUCUUUAAAUAACAUCAACGUAAUUUUUUAUAACAACAAAAGGUAAAAAAAUGCAUUUAAAAAAUAUUUUAUUUAUUUGACAGAUUGAUCCGCCAACUAGUCUGUCAUCACUAAACGAAACGGGAUGAAAUUUAAAUUCCACCACUUAAAUUGACUCGGCCUAUCUCAAUCUGGCUUUAUAUGGACUUAAGCGGACGUAUCUAAAACGGGCAAGGCAGCCCGCGUUGCCAUCCCUACAUGCAGGUAAUUUUUUUAUUUAUUUUUUGAUUGUUUUUUUACAACACAAUCCAUGCAUGCACAAGAAUAUAUCCAGUCCAACUCCAAUGUAGAUUUGAAAACAAAAAAUUAACAAAAAUAAUCUAUUUUAUUAAAACAAAUCAUCUGUUUUCUAUCGGAAUAAAAAAAAAAAAUCUAUUUUUACGUAUAGAAAAACCCUUAACCUACUUUUUACCAAACUAUUGAACAUUUUUUUUGUACAAACUAUUGAACAUUUUUAUGCAUUAUAAAAAGUGAAAAAAUGUCAUUCGUCAACUUCUUUUUUCUUUUGACAUGUCACUUAAUUAUUUUU